RNAcentral lists this ribosomal RNA (496 nucleotides) under uncultured bacterium. Its description in RNAcentral is "partial 16S ribosomal RNA". It matches the Rfam family "Bacterial small subunit ribosomal RNA", at positions 28 to 507 of the family's 1533-position model. The record is from RNAcentral.
GAUGAACGCUGGCGGCGUGCCUAAUACAUGCAAGUCGAGCGAACAGAUAAGGAGCUUGCUCCUUUGACGUUAGCGGCGGACGGGUGAGUAACACGUGGGUAACCUACCUAUAAGACUGGGAUAACUUCGGGAAACCGGAGCUAAUACCGGAUAAAAUUUAGAACCGCAUGGUUCGAUAGUGAAAGAUGGUUUUGCUAUCACUUAUAGAUGGACCGCGUCGUAUUAGCUUGUUGGGAAGGUAACGGCUUACCAAGGCGACGAUACGUAGCCGACCUGAGAGGGGGGUCGGCUACACUAGAAUUGAGACACGGUCCAGACUCCAAUGGGAGGCAGGAGUAGGGAAUCUUCCGCAAUGGGCGAAAGCCUGACGGAGCACCGCCGAGUGAGUGAUGAAGGGCUUCGGCUCUUAAAACUCUGUUAUUAGGGAAGAACAUUCGUGUAAGUAACUGUGCACGCCUUGACGGUACCUAAUCAGAAAGCCACGGCUAACUCCGUG